GAUGAACGCUGGCGGCGUGCCUAACACAUGCAAGUCGAACGAAGGUAUGUAUAGGAAGUCUUCGGAUGGAAUAUGUAUAACUUAGUGGCGGACGGGUGAGUAACGCGUAAGUAAUCAACCUGUGACACACGGAUAACUGAUAGAAAUGUCAGCUAAUACGAGAUGAACUGUUUAAAUUGGGAAAUGGAAACAGCAAAGCGAAAGCGGUCACAGACGAGCUUGCGUCUGAUUAGCUAGUUGGUGGGGUAAGAGCCUACCAAGGCAACGAUCAGUAGCCGGCCUGAGAGGGUGAACGGCCACAUUGGAACUGAGACACGGUCCAAACUCCUACGGGAGGCAGCAGUGGGGGAUAUUGCACAAUGGGGGGAACCCUGAUGCAGCAACGCCGCGUGAGUGAAGAAGGCCCUAGGGUCGUAAAGCUCUGUCGUANGGGAAGAAGAAAANGA
RNAcentral lists this ribosomal RNA (446 nucleotides) under uncultured bacterium. Its description in RNAcentral is "bacterial SSU rRNA". It matches the Rfam family "Bacterial small subunit ribosomal RNA", at positions 28 to 457 of the family's 1533-position model. The record is from RNAcentral.